GAGCCUUAACAAGCCCAACAACCAACCACUAACAACCACCACUAACAACCAAAACAUUUGCCACAGGAAGUAGCUGAGAACGAACCCACUGAAUUGACGCUAUAGAGAAAGUACUGUGAAGGAAAAAUGAAAGAACAACACUAAAGCAAAAAAAAGCAGGAAUAAACCCCCGUACCUUUUGCAUCACCGCUUAGCAAGAAUGCACAGACAAGACGACAUCAUGCCUGCCAACCCGAAUGUAAGUGAGCUAUUUUUGGGCAGUAUUAGAACUAACCCAUUUCUGUAGCAAAAGAACGGGAAGACCUGAAAAUAGAAGCGAAAAACCAAUCGAACCUACAGAUAGCUGGUUGCCCGAUAAACGAAUAUAAGUUCGACCUUGGGGGACACAAUAGGUAAAUAAUAUAAACUACACCCAAGAACUAGUCAAUGAAGGUACAGCUCCAUUGACACAGGAUACAGCCUCAAACAGAGAGUAAAACCCACCACCACAAAUAGUUGGCUUCAAAUCAGCCACCAAAAAAUAUCACGUCACAGUAACAAUAAAAAAAAUACGACAUCACAUCACCUCCUGUUUUACACCCGGGCCAUCCUAUAAUAAAAUACAUAGAAGAGACUAUGCUAAGACUAGUAAUAAGAGACCCUCUCAGGACAAAACUCCAACCUUAUCAGACCAACAACUGGUGAUAUAAAACAUAAUUUACACGCCAUAGAACACACUGUAAGACCAACCCAGGAUUGUCAACAUGAAAGACUAAAAACCUAAAAAGGAACUCGGCAAAUAUCUUUCCAACUGUUUACCAAAAACAUAGCCUUUAGUAACUAAAUUAAAGGUACCGCCUGCCCAGUGAGGGUUAAACCCUUAAACGGCCGCGUAUAUAAACGUGCAAAGGUAGCAAAAUCAUUUGUCCCUUAAAUGGGGACCAGCAUGAAAGGCAACAUGAGAAAGAAACUGUCUCCUUAGGCCAGUCAAUGAACCUGAUCUGCCUGUACAAACGCAGACAUAAAAAAACAAGACAAAAAGACCCUGUGAAACUUCAAAUGUUCGUCACACACAUGACCAAAACAUUUUUGGUUGGGGCAACCAAAGAGAAACAAAAACCUCUAAACCGUUACACGGCAAACAAGCCAACUGACUGCCAAAACUAGACCCAGUAAAACUGAUCAAAGAACCAAGCUACUCCAGGGAUAACAGCGCUACAUUCUUGAAGAGUCCUUAUCAACAAGAAUACCUACGACCUCGAUGUUGGAUUAGGGUAUCCUAAUGGCGCAAAAGUCAUUGAAGGUUCGUUUGUUCAACGAUUAAAACCCCACGU
RNAcentral lists this ribosomal RNA (1313 nucleotides) under Harpesaurus borneensis. RNAcentral describes it as "partial 16S ribosomal RNA". It matches the Rfam family "Bacterial large subunit ribosomal RNA", at positions 236 to 2601 of the family's 2925-position model. Lineage: Eukaryota; Metazoa; Chordata; Lepidosauria; Squamata; Agamidae. The record is from RNAcentral.